This is a non-coding RNA of Ailuropoda melanoleuca (giant panda), 502 nucleotides long. Lineage: Eukaryota; Metazoa; Chordata; Mammalia; Carnivora; Ursidae. The record is from the annotation of a RefSeq genome assembly.
CAUUUGCAUGGAUGGGCCCUCCCUCUCUCAGAGGAUGAAGAGGGGAAGGGAGAGAUGAGGGGAGGCUCUGCUCAGCUGUGGGGCACAGAAGUCAGGACCAGGGAUGACCUGCACCAUGUCCUGGUCCCCUCUCCUCCUCACCCUCCUCGCUCACUGCACAGGUUCCUGGGCCCAGUUUGGGCUGACUCAGCCGCCCUCUGUAUCUGGGUCCCUGGGCCAGAAGGUCACCAUCUCCUGCACUGGAAGCAGCUCCAACAUCGGUAGUAAUUAUGUGAACUGGUUCCAACAGCUCCCAGGAACCGCCCCCAGAACUGUCAUCUAUGGUAAUAACAACCGACCAUCGGGGAUCCCAGAUCGAUUUUCUGGCUCCAAGUCUGGCAACUCAGGCACCCUGACCAUCACUGGGCUCCAGGCUGAGGAUGAGGCAGAUUAUUACUGUGCAUCGUGGGAUGACAAUCUCAGUGCUCACACAGUGCUCCAGGCCUGAGGGGAAGUGAGACAA